GUGCUUGCUUCGGCAGCACAUACACUAAAACUGGAACGAUACAGAGAAGAUUAGCGUGGCCCCUGUGCAAGGAUAACAUGCAAAUUUGUGAAGCGUUCCACAUUUUU
RNAcentral lists this small nuclear RNA (107 nucleotides) under Choloepus hoffmanni (Hoffmann's two-fingered sloth). Lineage: Eukaryota; Metazoa; Chordata; Mammalia; Pilosa; Megalonychidae. The record is from RNAcentral.